RNAcentral lists this ribosomal RNA (254 nucleotides) under uncultured bacterium. RNAcentral describes it as "partial 16S ribosomal RNA". It matches the Rfam family "Bacterial small subunit ribosomal RNA", at positions 524 to 776 of the family's 1533-position model. The record is from RNAcentral.
UACGUAGGGUGCGAGCGUUGUCCGGAAUUAUUGGGCGUAAAGAGCUCGUAGGCGGUGUGUCGCGUCGGCCGUGAAAACCUGGGGCUUAACUCUGGGCGUGCGGUCGAUACGGGCAUCACUAGAGUUCGGCAGGGGAGACUGGAAUUCCUGGUGUAGCGGUGAAAUGCGCAGAUAUCAGGAGGAACACCGGUGGCGAAGGCAGGUCUCUGGGCCGAUACUGACGCUGAGGAGCGAAAGCGUGGGGAGCGAACAGG